GUCGCGUUAGCUCAGGUGGGUAGAGGGAUGGCGUCGGGGCAGAGGUCCGGGGUUCGAGUCCCCGGUGGGGUA
Molecule: non-coding RNA, 72 nt
Organism: Caenorhabditis elegans
Lineage: Eukaryota; Metazoa; Nematoda; Chromadorea; Rhabditida; Rhabditidae
Source: the annotation of a RefSeq genome assembly